Molecule: ribosomal RNA, 468 nt
Filed under: uncultured bacterium
Lineage: Bacteria
Description: partial 16S ribosomal RNA
Rfam family: Bacterial small subunit ribosomal RNA
Source: RNAcentral
GACGAACGCUGGCGGCGUGCCUAACACAUGCAAGUCGAACGAAACGGCCCUGCUUUGUUGCGCUGCUGUGGUGGCGAACGGGUAAGUUACCCGUGAGUACCCUACCCUUGCCUUUGGGGUAUCUUCAGACAACUGGGGCUAUUACCGGCUAGGAUCUCCCGCUGCUUGGUGGGGGUUGGAAAGUUUCGGCGGUUGGGAAUGGACUCGCGGCUUAUCAGCUUGUUGGUGGGGUAGUGGAUUACCAAGGCUUUGACGGGUGGCCGGGCUGAGAGGGUGACCGGCCACACUGCGCCUGAGCUAAGGCACAGACUCGACUGGGACGCAACGGUGGAGAGUAUUAUACAAUGGGAGGAAGCCUGGCGUAGCAACGCCGUGUGCGGGAUGACGGCCUUGCGGUAGUAAACCGCAUCCGCCUGUGACGAAGCGUGAGUGACGGUAACGGGUGAAGAAGCACCGGCUAACUACGUG